Molecule: non-coding RNA, 254 nt
Organism: Thalictrum thalictroides
Lineage: Eukaryota; Viridiplantae; Streptophyta; Magnoliopsida; Ranunculales; Ranunculaceae
Source: the annotation of a GenBank genome assembly
UGAAUGGUUGGCCUAUGUUGAUGGGAUGGGCUUCUUCGGGGCUUUAAAAGCUGGCUUGCCCGUUCCAAGUUGGGAGUUGAGCAAUGUGACUUGGGAUAAGGCCUGGGCCAUGUUGGUUCUAAAGUGUGAAGGGUAAUGCGUCAGGCUGGUUUCACAGAGGAGCGAUCACCUUCCGUUCCCUGCCGUGGAAGGAUCACAAUAAGCCGGUGCUCCACGAGUCAACAAAAUCCCAGAUAACCAGGCCCAAUCAACCA